RNAcentral lists this ribosomal RNA (253 nucleotides) under uncultured bacterium. RNAcentral describes it as "partial 16S ribosomal RNA". It matches the Rfam family "Bacterial small subunit ribosomal RNA", at positions 524 to 776 of the family's 1533-position model. The record is from RNAcentral.
UACGUAGGGUGCGGGCGUUAAUCGGAAUUACUGGGCGUAAAGCGCACGCAGGCGGUUUGUUAAGUCAGAUGUGAAAUCCCCGCGCUUAACGUGGGAACUGCAUUUGAAACUGGCAAGCUAGAGUCUUGUAGAGGGGGGUAGAAUUCCAGGUGUAGCGGUGAAAUGCGUAGAGAUCUGGAGGAAUACCGGUGGCGAAGGCGGCCCCCUGGACAAAGACUGACGCUCAGGUGCGAAAGCGUGGGGAGCAAACAGG